RNAcentral lists this ribosomal RNA (1200 nucleotides) under uncultured dinoflagellate. RNAcentral describes it as "SSU rRNA". It matches the Rfam family "Eukaryotic small subunit ribosomal RNA", at positions 580 to 1804 of the family's 1831-position model. The record is from RNAcentral. Lineage: Eukaryota; Dinophyceae.
UAAUUCCAGCUCCAAUAGCGUAUAUUAAAGUUGUUGCGGUUAAAAAGCUCGUAGUUGGAUUUCUGGAAAGGACGACCAGUCCACCCACUGGGUGAGUACGUGGUUCGGCUUGGCCAUUUUCUUGGAGAACGCCACUGCGCUUCAUUGUGUGGGGUGAUAUCCAAGACUUUUACUUUGAGGAAAUUAGAGUGUUUCAAGCAGGCGCACGCCUUGAACACAUUAGCAUGGAAUAAUGAGAUAGGACCUUGGCUCUAUUUUGUUGGUUUCUAGAGCUGAGGUAAUGAUUAAUAGGGAUAGUCGGGGGCAUUCGUAUUUAACUGUCAGAGGUGAAAUUCUUGGAUUUGUUAAAGACGGACUACUGCGAAAGCAUUUGCCAAGGAUGUUUUCAUUGAUCAAGAACGAAAGUUAGGGGAUCGAAGACGAUCAGAUACCGUCCUAGUCUUAACCAUAAACAAUGCCGACUAGAGAUCGGAGGUCGUUAUCUAUACGACUCCUUCAGCACCUUAUGGGAAAUCAAAGUCUUUGGGUUCCGGGGGGAGUAUGGUUGCAAGGCUGAAACUUAAAGGAAUUGACGGAAGGGCACCACCAGGAGUGGAGCCUGCGGCUUAAUUUGACUCAACACGGGAGAAACUUACCAGGUACAGACAUAGUAAGGAUGGACAGAAAGAUAGCUCUUUCUUGUAUUUAUGGGUGGUGGAGCAUGGCCGUUCUUGGGUGGUGGAGUGAUUUGUCUGGUUAAUUCCGUUGACGAACGAGGCCUUAACCUGAUAAAUAGUUUCAUGUAACCUCGGUUAUGUGGGUAACUUCUUAGAGGGACUUUGCGUGUCUAACGCAAGGAAGUUUGAGGCAAUAACAGGUCUGUGAUGCCCUUAGAUGUUCUGGGCUGCACGCGCGCUACACUGAUGCGUUCAUCAAGCUUUUGACCUUGCCUGGAAAGGUUGGGUAACCUCUUUAAAUUGCAUCGUGAUGGGGAUAGAUUAUUGUAAUUAUUAAUCUUCAACGAGGAAUUCCUAGUAAGCGUGAGUCAUCAGCUCGCGCUGAUUACGUCCCUGCCCUUUGUACACACCGCCCGUCGCUCCUACCGAUUGAGUGUUCCUGUGAAUUGUUCGGACUGCCGCAGUCGCCAGUUCCUGGAGAUUGUAGCGGAAAGUUCUGUAAAUAGGGCCACUUAGAGGAAGGAGAAGUCGUAACGGGGUAACC